CAGAUUCAAUCAAAUCAAAUAUGAAAUGAGUAUAUGAGGUGAUGUCUUAUCAGUCAAUGAAGUGCUUAUAAUCUUAUGUAACACGUCAUAGGGUGCUUGAAUCAAUAGGAAAGCUUAUCAAUAUUUGGACAGCUUCAAUUACCGAGCGUCACUGAUAAUUGGAACAUUUUAACACGGCAACAGAAACAAAGUUAGGAGCCACACUUAAGAUAUUAGUGUCUCACUGUCUCAAGAAUCACUUGACACUUUUUUUGGUGGAUUAAUUAGUUUUGUGAUUGCCUUUUACCUUGCAAAGUUCAGGACUUUACACAAUAAAAUAUAUUUAAAACUGCAAAUAUUUAAAUAAUUCACUCUUAUUAAUUAAAAGGACUUCACUGCAUUUUUUGUGUCGGUUUCACAACCACAGAUUGGUCUACAAAAUGGAUUAUGAAGAAAAAAAUAUUCUUCAAUCUCGGUUCAACAAAUUGGAAAACUGAUGUCACGCUGAGCUAUUGCCUCCACUAAACUAUUAUCAGUUACCUAUGGAUCUUAUCUGAUAUUAAAUAGUCACUAGCUAUCAAAUUUAAAAAAGGCAGUCACGUGCUAAGGUGCUCUGCGAUGCCUACCCGCCACAGGAAUUUGUCAUGGUAGAGAUUCUCCGGAAGCUGGCAUUGCUACAUCUCUUCACAGAUGCCCCCUACCCACUGUUUGGCUGGACGCCCUCUCCGUCGCCUACCUGGAGGGAUCCCUUCCAACACCUUCUUUGGCAACCUAGUAUCAGCCAUCCUCUGCACAUGCCCAUACCGCACCAAAUGCUUGAUUGAUUAAAUUGUCUUCUUGAUUGAUAAAAUUCAAUAAAUAAUCCUUACUUUCCUCUUUGAUACUAUCCACAUAAUUACAAGGAAAAAUAAUGAAA
Non-coding RNA from Bemisia tabaci, 895 nucleotides. NCBI's taxonomy places the organism in Eukaryota, Metazoa, Arthropoda, Insecta, Hemiptera, Aleyrodidae. The record is from RefSeq and is a predicted model, not a curated record.